AAGCUUCUUUCUUCUUUUUUAUUUGUCCUUCUUUCGAGAAGCACUAACGUGUUCCGCCAGAUCGUUCCAUUGAAAAGUACAUCACUUACGUAGACGGCUUGUCACCACUGCCAAUCUGGGGCCUCCCGCGCGACCUUUCUGCCAUUGACGAAUCAAGAUUCGCUGGCAGAUACGCUAGAGCCAAGAGCUUCGCCACAACGUCGUGGGUUUUGGUCAACUCGUUCGAAGAACUCGAGGGCAGUGCCACCUUCCAAGCCCUCCGAGACAUCUCUCCCAAAGCAAUCGCUGUGGGUCCUCUUUUCACCAUGGCCCCCGGCUGCAACAAGGCAAGCUUGUGGAAGGAAGACACCGAGAGUUUAUCCUGGCUCGGCAAGCAAAGUCCCGGCUCGGUUCUCUACAUUUCCUUGGGCACCAUCGCGACUCUCAGCUUCGAUCAGUUCAAGGAGUUCUCCGAGGGACUGAGGCUUCUCCAGCGUCCGUUUAUCUGGGCCAUCCGACCCAAGUCGGUCGCCGGCAUGGAGCCCGAGUUCCUGGAGCGUUUCAAGGAGGCCGUGAGGAGCUUUGGACUGGUUGUGAGCCGGGCUCCUCAGGUGGACAUCCUCCGCCACCCUUCCACGGCUGGAUUUCUCAGUCACUGCGGCUGGAACUCCAUCCUCGAGAGCGUAGCAUCCGCGGUGCCCAUGCUUUGCUGGCCGUGCGUCGCGGAGCAGAAUCUAAACUGCAAGUUGAUAGUGGAGGACUGGAAGAUCGGUCUCAAGUUCUCGUGCGUGACCAUGCCGGAUCCUCCCGAGGUGAUGGCGAGGGACGAGUUUGUGGAGGUGGUGGAGCGAUUCAUGGGAACUGACAGUGAGCAUUUGAGGAUUAACGUGAAGAAGCUGAGCGAGGAGGCUCGUAGAGCAGUGUCUAGUGGUGGCUCCUCAUAUGAAAACCUGGAGAGAUUUGCUCAAGCAGUGAAAAUUUCCUAAACUUCAAUCCAAAGCUAAGAGAAAACUUCAAAGCAUCUACUCUAUUCAAGAAUAUACUACAGUUCUUUCUCUCUCUCUCUGAAGAUAAGCACGCGCUUUGCGCGUAUAAUGGGUUCCAAGGUCAAUGUUGUCGCAAUUCCUCUCCCAGCUCAAGGCCACAUCUCUCCACUCUUGCAUCUCUGCCAAGCUCUCACUUUCAUCCUUUGGGGGAUGCUAUCUCCGAAACACACAACCAUGAGGGAAUGUGCUGGACUUUGUCACGUGCAAGAACCCAUGGCCAAUGUGCUAGUGUAGACUCCAAGGUGAUGCCUUAUGUCAGAAACUGAUGCAAAAAGAAGAAACUAAAGAAAAACAAAAAAAAUAAUAAUAAGAAGAAAGAGAGUGUAAAGUUCUGGAGUCAAAAGGGAACCAUAUGAGGAAAUUUGAUAAAAGAACUAAACACUAAAAAAUGGAAAAACAAAAAGUGAAAAAAACUAAAGAGCAAGGAACAGCUUAAAGAAGAGCUCUAGAGGCCAGUUAUAAUGGCCAUUUGUCUCAAGUUGGUCCCUGGCAUAGAGCCUGAGUUCCUGGAGGCUUUCAAGGCUCUCCUUGAAAGUGAUCAGCUUUGGACUGGUUGUGAGCUGGGCUCCUCAACCGGAAAUCCUCCAGCAUCCUUCCACAGGCUGCGAGAGUGUAUCUUCAGCAGUGCCAAUCCUUUGCUGGUCAUGAGUUGCCGAGCAGAAUCUCAACUGCAAGCUUAUAGUGGAAAACUGGAAGAUCGAUCUUAAGUUCUCACCCAUGAGAGAUCCUUGCAAGGUGGUGGCAGGGAUGAGUUUGUGGAGGUGGUGGAGCAACUCAUGGGAGCUGAGAGUGGCGAUUCCUUUAGAUGUAAUGUGAAGGAGCUCAGCGAGGCUGCUCAGGGAGCAACAGUGAAAGAAGUCAAGAUCUUCAUAUGAAAGUUUGGACAAGUUUGUCAAGUUUCAUAAGGUAAUUUAUAUCCAAUGCCGCAGCUGGUGGCAGGACGAUCAUCGGGCAUGAGGGCGGGGCCAAUGCACAGACAGACCAACCACCAAGAGCACAUAAAGAUGAUACUUGAAAGUGUAUAGGUUGGUGGAAGUGUUAUUUUCCUUCCCAAAGAAAUAGAUGGCGUAAUCAAGAGGAGUAAAACAUUCCUGAAGGAGAACACUAGAUUAAAACCUUUGCAAAACGCACUGAUUCUUAAGCUCAGCCUUGGAGCGAUUUCAAGCUUAUCCAGAAAAGGUAUUGUGAGAAACGGCAGCACCUUCCAGAGCACUCACGAAGUAAGCUUGAAUUUUCUUUGUUCUUCGUCAAUGGGUUCUUCUACUGGUGCCGAGGGGCUCGCUCCUCACGCAGCGGUUCUUCCCAUUCCAACGCUACGCCACAUCACUCCAUUCCUCCAUCUCUCCAGAGCUCUGGCCUCGCGAGGCUUCGUCAUAACUUUCAUCAACACGGAGGGCAACCACAGGGACCUGAAGGACAUCGUUUCACAGGAGGAGAGCUUUGGCUAUGGCGGCGGCAUUCGCUUCGAGACGGUCCCGGGCAUCCAAGCGAGCGACGUCGACUUCGCGGUCCCGGAGAAGCGGGGGAUGUUCUCCGAGGCAGUGAUGGAGAUGCAGGCUCCAGUGGAAAGCUUGCUCAUCAGGAACAUGGCCAGAGACGAUGAUCUCGUUCCUCCGGUCUCGUGCUUCAUCUCGGAUAUGUUCCCGUGGUCCGCGGAAGUAGCAAGAAGGACUGGAAUCCCAGAGGUCAAGUUCUGGAUCGCCAGUGCCUCUUGCGUUUUGCUCGAUUGCUCGUUUCCGCGAAUGCUGGAGAAGGGAGACGUUCCAGUCCAAGGUAAAGCUUCUUUCUUCUUUUUUAUUUGUCCUUCUUUCGAGAAGCACUAACGUGUUCCGCCAGAUCGUUCCAUUGAAAAGUACAUCACUUACGUAGACGGCUUGUCACCACUGCCAAUCUGGGGCCUCCCGCGCGACCUUUCUGCCAUUGACGAAUCAAGAUUCGCUGGCAGAUACGCUAGAGCCAAGAGCUUCGCCACAACGUCGUGGGUUUUGGUCAACUCGUUCGAAGAACUCGAGGGCAGUGCCACCUUCCAAGCCCUCCGAGACAUCUCUCCCAAAGCAAUCGCUGUGGGUCCUCUUUUCACCAUGGCCCCCGGCUGCAACAAGGCAAGCUUGUGGAAGGAAGACACCGAGAGUUUAUCCUGGCUCGGCAAGCAAAGUCCCGGCUCGGUUCUCUACAUUUCCUUGGGCACCAUCGCGACUCUCAGCUUCGAUCAGUUCAAGGAGUUCUCCGAGGGACUGAGGCUUCUCCAGCGUCCGUUUAUCUGGGCCAUCCGACCCAAGUCGGUCGCCGGCAUGGAGCCCGAGUUCCUGGAGCGUUUCAAGGAGGCCGUGAGGAGCUUUGGACUGGUUGUGAGCCGGGCUCCUCAGGUGGACAUCCUCCGCCACCCUUCCACGGCUGGAUUUCUCAGUCACUGCGGCUGGAACUCCAUCCUCGAGAGCGUAGCAUCCGCGGUGCCCAUGCUUUGCUGGCCGUGCGUCGCGGAGCAGAAUCUAAACUGCAAGUUGAUAGUGGAGGACUGGAAGAUCGGUCUCAAGUUCUCGUGCGUGACCAUGCCGGAUCCUCCCGAGGUGAUGGCGAGGGACGAGUUUGUGGAGGUGGUGGAGCGAUUCAUGGGAACUGACAGUGAGCAUUUGAGGAUUAACGUGAAGAAGCUGAGCGAGGAGGCUCGUAGAGCAGUGUCUAGUGGUGGCUCCUCAUAUGAAAACCUGGAGAGAUUUGCUCAAGCAGUGAAAAUUUCCUAAACUUCAAUCCAAAGCUAAGAGAAAACUUCAAAGCAUCUACUCUAUUCAAGAAUAUACUACAGUUCUUUCUCUCUUUCUCUGAAGAUAAGCACGCGCUUUGCGCGUAUAAUGGGUUCCAAGGUCAAUGUUGUCGCAAUUCCUCUCCCAGCUCAAGGCCACAUCUCUCCACUCUUGCAUCUCUGCCAAGCUCUCACUUUCAUCCUUUGGGGGAUGCUAUCUCCAAAACACACAACCAUGAGGGAAUGUGCUGGACUUUGUCACGUGCAAGAACCCAUGGCCAAUGUGCUAGUGUAGACUCCAAGGUGAUGCCUUAUGUCAGAAACUGAUGCAAAAAGAAGAAACUAAAGAAAAACAAAAAAAAUAAUAAUAAGAAGAAAGAGAGUGUAAAGUUCUGGAGUCAAAAGGGAACCAUAUGAGGAAAUUUGAUAAAAGAACUAAACACUAAAAAAUGGAAAAACAAAAAGUGAAAAAAACUAAAGAGCAAGGAACAGCUUAAAGAAGAGCUCUAGAGGCCAGUUAUAAUGGCCAUUUGUCUCAAGUUGGUCCCUGGCAUAGAGCCUGAGUUCCUGGAGGCUUUCAAGGCUCUCCUUGAAAGUGAUCAGCUUUGGACUGGUUGUGAGCUGGGCUCCUCAACCGGAAAUCCUCCAGCAUCCUUCCACAGGCUGCGAGAGUGUAUCUUCAGCAGUGCCAAUCCUUUGCUGGUCAUGAGUUGCCGAGCAGAAUCUCAACUGCAAGCUUAUAGUGGAAAACUGGAAGAUCGAUCUUAAGUUCUCACCCAUGAGAGAUCCUUGCAAGGUGGUGGCAGGGACGAGUUUGUGGAGGUGGUGGAGCAGCUCAUGGGAGCUGAGAAUGGCGAUUCCUUUAGAUGUAAUGUGAAGGAGCUCAGCGAGGCUGCUCAGGGAGCAACAGUGAAAGAAGGCAGGAUCUUCAUAUGAAAGUUUGGACAAGUUCGUCAAGUUUCAUAAGGUAAUUUAUAUCCAAUGCCGCAGCUGGUGGCAGGACGAUCAUCGGGUAUGAGGGCGGGGCCAAUGCACAGACAGACCAACCACCAAGAGCACAUAAAGAUGAUACUUGAAAGUGUAUAGGUUGGUGGAAGUGUUAUUUUCCUUCCCAAAGAAAUAGAUGGCAUAAUCAAGAGGACUAAAAAAUUCCUGAAGGAGAACACUAGAAUAAAACCUUUGCAAAACGCACUGAUUCUUAAGCUCAGCCUUGGAGCCAGAAAGAAACGGCAGCACCUUCAUGAAGUAAGCUUGAAUUUCCUUUGUUCUUCGUCAAUGGGUUCUUCUACUGGUGCCGAGGGGCUCGCUCCUCACGCAGCGGUUCUUCCCAUUCCAACUCUAGGCCACAUCACUCCAUUCCUCCAUCUCUCUAGAGCUCUGGCCUCGCGAGGCUUCGUCAUAACUUUUAUCAACACGGAGGGCAACCACAGGGACUUGAAGGACAUCGUUUCACAGGAGGAGAGCUUUGGCUCUGGUGGCAGCAUUCGUUUCGAGACGGUCCCCGGGGUCCAAACGAGCGAGGCCGACUUCACGGCCCCGGAGACGCGGCCAAUGUUCUUCGAGGCAUUGAUGGCGAUGCAGGGUCCAGUGGAGAGCUUGCUCGUCAGGAGCAUGGCAAGAGACGAUGAUCUCGUUCCUCCGGUCUCAUGCUUCAUCUCGGAUAUGUUGUUCCCGUGGUCCACGGAAGUACCCAGAAGGAUCGGAAUCCCAGAGGUCAAGUUCUGGGUCGCCAGUGCUUCUUGCGUUUUGCUCUACUCCUCGUAUCCCCAAAUGCUGGAGAAGGGAGACAUUCCAGUCCAAGGUAAAGCUGCUUUCUUCUUUUUUAUUUUUCCUUCUUUCGAGAAGCACUGACGUCCAUAUACGUGUUCCACCAGAUCGUUCCAUUGAGAAGCGCAUAACUUACGUAGACGGCUUGUCACCACUACCAAUGUGGAGCCUCCCGGGCGACUUUUCUGCCAGUGACGACGACCCGGGAUUCGCUCGCGGAUACGCCAGAGCCAAGAGCUUCGCCACAACGUCGUGGGUUUUGGUCAACUCGUUCGAAGAACUCGAGGGCAGUGCCACCUUCCAAGCUCUCCGAGACAUCUCUCCCAAAGCAAUCGCAGUGGGUCCACUUUCCACCAUGGUCCCCGGCUCCAGCAAUGCAAGCUUGUGGACGGA
RNAcentral lists this long non-coding RNA (5925 nucleotides) under Selaginella moellendorffii. RNAcentral describes it as "long non-coding RNA (SMOE_LNC000745)". Lineage: Eukaryota; Viridiplantae; Streptophyta; Lycopodiopsida; Selaginellales; Selaginellaceae. The record is from RNAcentral.